This 360-nucleotide long non-coding RNA is filed under the name Rattus norvegicus (Norway rat). RNAcentral describes it as "long non-coding RNA NONRATT002913". Lineage: Eukaryota; Metazoa; Chordata; Mammalia; Rodentia; Muridae. The record is from RNAcentral.
UGGGAAGUGUUUGAGGUGGUCACCCUGCAGGCUCCCCAGCAUCCAGCCCUGCUCUAGCUAGUCCAGCCUUUGGAGCCAUCAGCAGUGGGCAGGGCCAGCCCUCCUGCCCUCCUGCUUUCAGGCUUUCUUAGCUUCUCUGUACUGCUUAGGCCCAGGGCCCACUCUCCAAGGGACUACAGCUGGCUAGGGGCUGGGCCAGAUCUUUUGACCUCACACCUUCAGAGCGUGUUUGCCCACUCCCUCCACCAUGGCCAGCUCUGCUGUGCUGCCCUGGGGAGUACAGGGCCCUCUCUCCUGAAUACUGCACCUGGUGGGAGGCAGGACCAGUGAGCAUACUGGCAUUAAAAAAAAAAAAAAAAA